GGCGUGCCUAACACAUGCAAGUCGAACGGAGCGCCCGGACGGAGUAUUUCGGUACAAAGACCGGGUGGCUGAGUGGCGGACGGGUGAGUAACGCGUGGACAACCUGCCGUGUACAGGGGGAUAACAGCCGGAAACGGCUGCUAAUACCGCAUAUGCGCACAGUGCCGCAUGGCACAGGGCGGAAAGCCUAGAUCUUAUCUAGUACGGUACACGAUGGGUCCGCGUCUGAUUAGGUAGUUGGCGGGGUAACGGCCCACCAAGCCCACGAUCAGUAGCCGGCCUGAGAGGGCGGACGGCCACACUGGGACUGAGACACGGCCCAGACUCCUGCGGGAGGCAGCAGUGGGGAAUAUUGCACAAUGGGGGGAACCCUGAUGCAGCGACGCCGCGUGAAGGAAGAAGUAUCUCGGUAUGUAAACUUCUAUCAGCAGGGAAGAAAGAGGACGGUACCUGACUAAGAAGCCCCGGCUAACUACGUGCCAGCAGCCGCGGUAUACGUAGGGGGCGAGCGUUAUCCGGAUUUACUGGGUGUAAAGGGAGCGUAGACGGCCAUGCAAGCUCGGUGUGAAAGGUGCGGGCACAACCCGCAGACUGCACUGAGAACUGUAUGGCUGGAGUGCCGGAGGGGCAGGCGGAAUUCCUGGUGUAGCGGUGAAAUGCGUAGAUAUCAGGAGGAACACCGGUGGCGAAGGCGGCCUGCUGGACGGCGACUGACGUUGAGGCUCGAAAGCGUGGGGAGCGAACAGGAUUAGAUACCCUGGUAGUCCACGCCGUAAACGAUGUAUACCAGGUGUCGGGCAUCAAGGAUGGCCGGUGCCGUAGCAAACGCAUUAAGUAUACCACCUGGGGAGUACGUUCGCAAGAAUGAAACUCAAAGGAAUUGACGGGGACCCGCACAAGCGGUGGAGCAUGUGGUUUAAUCCGAAGCAACGCGAAGAACCUUACCAAGCCUUGACAUCCCGCUGACAGGGGCGUAACGGCCCCCUCCCCUCGGGGCAGCGGAGACAGGUGGUGCAUGGUUGUCGUCAGCUCGUGUCGUGAGAUGUUGGGUUAAGUCCCGCAACGAGCGCAACCCCUAUCUUUAGUAGCCAGCAUUUCGGAUGGGCACUCUAGAGAGACUGCCAGGGACAACUUGGAGGAAGGUGGGGAUGACGUCAAAUCAUCAUGCCCCUUAUGACCAGGGCUACACACGUGCUACAAUGGCGUAAACAAAGGGAAGCAAGCAUGUGAAUGUGAGCAAAUCCCAAAAAUAACGUCUCAGUUCGGAUUGUAGUCUGCAACUCGACUACAUGAAGCUGGAAUCGCUAGUAAUCGCGAAUCAGAAUGUCGCGGUGAAUACGUUCCCGGGUCUUACACACACCGCCGGUCA
Molecule: ribosomal RNA, 1369 nt
Filed under: uncultured bacterium
Lineage: Bacteria
Description: bacterial SSU rRNA
Rfam family: Bacterial small subunit ribosomal RNA
Source: RNAcentral